RNAcentral lists this non-coding RNA (97 nucleotides) under Lentimicrobium saccharophilum. RNAcentral's name for it is "TPP riboswitch aptamer (THI element)". It matches the Rfam family "TPP riboswitch aptamer (THI element)". From Rfam's summary of the family: Vitamin B(1) in its active form thiamin pyrophosphate (TPP) is an essential coenzyme that is synthesised by coupling of pyrimidine and thiazole moieties in bacteria. The record is from Rfam by way of RNAcentral. RNAcentral also lists the same sequence under 1 other name. Lineage: Bacteria; Pseudomonadati; Bacteroidota; Bacteroidia; Bacteroidales; Lentimicrobiaceae.
GAUUUCCAAUUGGGGUGCCCUAACACUACGGGCUGAGAUCAUACUCAUAGAACCUGCUCCGGGUAAUGCCGGCGAAGGGAAGUAGAGAAAACUUGAU